RNAcentral lists this ribosomal RNA (373 nucleotides) under uncultured organism. RNAcentral's name for it is "partial 16S ribosomal RNA". It matches the Rfam family "Bacterial small subunit ribosomal RNA", at positions 527 to 896 of the family's 1533-position model. The record is from RNAcentral.
GUAGGUGGCAAGCGUUGUCCGGAAUUAUUGGGCGUAAAGCGCGCGCAGGGCGGUCCUUUAAGUCUGAUGUGAAAGCCCGCGGCUCAACCGUGGAGGGUCAUUGGAAACUGGGGGACUUGAGUACAGAAGAGGAAAGCGGAAUUCCAAGUGUAGCGGUGAAAUGCGUAGAGAUUUGGAGGAACACCAGUGGCGAAGGCGGCUUUCUGGUCUGUAACUGACGCUGAGGCGCGAAAGCGUGGGGAGCAAACAGGAUUAGAUACCCUGGUAGUCCACGCCGUAAACGAUGAGUGCUAAGUGUUAGGGGGGUUUCCGCCCCUUAGUGCUGCAGCUAACGCAUUAAGCACUCCGCCUGGGGAGUACGGCCGCAAGGCUG